RNAcentral lists this long non-coding RNA (1265 nucleotides) under Anser brachyrhynchus (Pink-footed goose). RNAcentral describes it as "lncRNA (ENSABRG00000010118.1)". The record is from RNAcentral. Lineage: Eukaryota; Metazoa; Chordata; Aves; Anseriformes; Anatidae.
GGAUAGUACUUUACUUAACAUGGGAUUUUCAUGGGGUAUUAUGCUAUUUCCUAAAAUUUAGUUAAUUUUCUAGUGAAGUGAAGAUCCAAUUACUUCUUUCUUGGGAGUUCUGAGGUGCCGAAUUGAAUAUACUGGACUUGCAGCCAAAUUUUCAUGAGUUGUUUUUAUAUUGUAUGAUCUCAAGCAUUCUAGCUUGAAACGGUUACAGAAAAUAAGUGCUGUAAAUACUAGUUUAUUAAACUGCAUUUAGACAUUAAGGUAUCUGAAUUUAUAUUUAGCAAUUUGUACAAAGAUCCAACAAGGAUCAGAUGACCAAUGAUAGAAGAUGAACAUGGGAUGUUUAGGAGGUGGCUUGAAGUCAGAAAAAGGGAGGGAUCAGGGAGGAGUGUUGGGGAGCAACUCUGUGAAGAUAGGAAAAGAUAAUAAAUGAGCCUGGUGACAUGAAAGCAGGUGCUGCUUGGCUAGCAUGUGUCCGAGUCCUGGGCUUCCUCACUGCAGUCUGUUCUAUGUUCCUGUUAAAUCCUACUUCUAACUCUCUCUCACAUGUGUGCGUGUGUGUGUCUGUGUCUCUGUGUGGGUCUGUGUGUCUGUGUGUUCAGCCUCCCUGUUCCCUGUCGAGAAGGAACUGAAAUAGCCUCACAUGAACAUGCCUGGGACAGAAGAACUCUCACAGGUCCUGCAGUCUACCAAAUUCACCUACCUUAGGCUGUGUUAUACUUGCUCUGAAAUAUCAUCACCAUCAGAAUAUGGGCAUGGUCUGGAAACCUACAAAUGUAAGAAGAUAUGUUCCCUCUUCUCUCUUUGGACAGGGACCACACAAUGGGUGAUACCACAAAUGCUGCAUGAUGGACUAUACUAUGUACUAAAGUUAAUGGAUUUUAUGAGCAUGACAAUGUUACAUUUAUUUGAGCACUUUCAAUGAACAAGUUAAUUCUUAACUCAUUUGUCAGCUAUCUAAUUUCUGGCAAUCUCCUGAGCAAGCUACUUUAGUGGAUUUAAUACAUUUGUAAAACAAAUCAAUCAUAGAUUGGGCAUAGAAAUUUGGCUACAUUUAUAAUGACAAGUGGCCAUUGAAGAUGGCCUACGCACUGAUUCUGUGGUAAUGCCUGCUAAAUCUAUAGAGCUUGUUAAUGUUUGACAAGUUACUUUAUGUACUUAUGGUUUAGUGUUUAAUGAUGAUUAAUCCCAUAGUAAAAGAGUAGUCUCAGUUUUUGACGGUUAUUGCAGAACAUGUGGAAAAUAAAAAAUGUCAAGUAAAAUGUUCA